GCCAGGCAUGGUGGCGCAUGCCUGUAAUCCCAGCUACUCAGGAGGCUGAGGAAGGAGAAUUGCUUGAACCCAGGAGGCAGAGGUUGCAGUGAGCUGAGAUCGUGCCACUGCCCUCCAGCCUGGGUGACAGAGCAAGACUCCAUCUCAA
This 148-nucleotide non-coding RNA is filed under the name Gorilla gorilla gorilla (western lowland gorilla). Lineage: Eukaryota; Metazoa; Chordata; Mammalia; Primates; Hominidae. The record is from Rfam by way of RNAcentral.